UUUUUACAAGACGUUAUGGGUGUUUAAACAGAAGGUGUCCGACAAGGAACAAUUUUAAUAGGAUGUACAACUUGUAUAGCACAAGUGCAAGGUACAACUCGACGAAGCACAGACAGAUUCUUUUAUACACGGAUUUAGCUCACUUUUCUUCAUUUCUUCAAAGUAUGGACGAUUUUUGGGGAGCUUCAAGAGGGGAUUUUCAUCAUCAAUGUGAAGGUAAGUUAUCCCCACCUAUUUUGAGUUAAGUACAUCAAUUAUGUAUGGAUUUGAGCAUGAAAAUUGUAGAAAAAUUGAGGAUUUAGGCCUAUAGAUUUGAAAAUAAGAUUUGGUGAUUUAAGGGAUCAAAUGAACUCCGAUUUUGGUAAAUUUUAUAUGUACGGACUCGUCGCGAGACGAAGAAUCCGGUGAUGUGACUUUCGUAAUUUUUCGAGAAAUGGGCCCGGGGCUCGGGUUUUGCAAAUUUCGUGAUUUUCGAUAUUUUUCGAGUCUUUUCGAUUGGGUUAUAUUCCCUUAGACUAUUGUAAUAUAUUCCUUGUGGUUUUGGUAAGAUUCGACGCGCGAGGAGGUCGAUUCGAAAGAAAAGGGCAUCGCGGAGUAGAC
This 600-nucleotide long non-coding RNA is filed under the name Nicotiana tabacum (common tobacco). RNAcentral's name for it is "long non-coding RNA (NTAB_LNC016009)". The record is from RNAcentral. Lineage: Eukaryota; Viridiplantae; Streptophyta; Magnoliopsida; Solanales; Solanaceae.